RNAcentral lists this ribosomal RNA (376 nucleotides) under uncultured organism. RNAcentral's name for it is "partial 16S ribosomal RNA". It matches the Rfam family "Bacterial small subunit ribosomal RNA", at positions 527 to 896 of the family's 1533-position model. The record is from RNAcentral.
GUAGGUGGCAAGCGUUGUCCGGAAUUAUUGGGCGUAAAGCGCGCGCAGGCGGUUUCUUUAAGUCUGAUGUGAAACGCCCACGGCUCAACCGUGGAGGGUCAUUGGAAACUGGAGAACUUGAGUACAGAAGAGGAAAGCGGAAUUCCACGUGUAGCGGUGAAAUGCGUAGAGAUGUGGAGGAACACCAGUGGCGAAGGCGGCUUUCUGGUCUGUAACUGACGCUGAGGCGCGAAAGCGUGGGGGAGCAAACAGGAUUAGAUACCCUGGUAGUCCACGCCGUAAACGAUGAGUGCUAAGUGUUAGGGGGUUUUCCGCCCCCUUAGUGCUGCAGCUAACGCAUUAAGCACUCCCGCCUGGGAGUACGGCCGCAAGGCUG